This 506-nucleotide ribosomal RNA is filed under the name uncultured bacterium. RNAcentral describes it as "partial 16S ribosomal RNA". It matches the Rfam family "Bacterial small subunit ribosomal RNA", at positions 29 to 523 of the family's 1533-position model. The record is from RNAcentral.
AGUGAACGCUGGCGGUAGGCCUAACACAUGCAAGUCGAACGGCAGCACAGGAGAGCUUGCUCUCUGGGUGGCGAGUGGCGGACGGGUGAGGAAUACAUCGGAAUCUACUUUUUCGUGGGGGAUAACGUAGGGAAACUUACGCUAAUACCGCAUACGACCUACGGGUGAAAGCAGGGGAUCUUCGGACCUUGCGCGAUUGAAUGAGCCGAUGUCGGAUUAGCUAGUUGGCGGGGUAAAGGCCCACCAAGGCGACGAUCCGUAGCUGGUCUGAGGGGAUGAUCAGCCACACUGGAACUGAGACACGGUCCAGACCCCUACGGGAGGCAGCAGUGGGGAAUAUUGGACAAUGGGCGCAAGACUGAUCCAGCCAUACCGCGUGGGUGAAGAAGGCCUUCGGGUUGUAAAGCGCUUUUGUUGGUAAAGAAAUCCAGUUGGUUAAUACCCGGUUGGGAUGACGGUACCCAAAGAAUAAGCACCGGCUAACUUCGUGCCAGCAGCCGCCGUAA